UUUAUUGGGGGGGAAGGGGGGGAGGAGUUCAAUUCUCCAUCCCCCUUUUGCCUUGGGCUCCCCACUUGUUCAAAGGGGGUAAACAAAGGGAAGCAAGACCGCGAGGGGGAGCAAAACUCAAAAACAACGUCUCAGUUCGGAUUGCAGUCUGCAACUCGCCUGCACGAAGUUGGAAUUGCUAGUAAUCGCGGAUCAGCAUGCCGCGGUGAAUACGUUCCCGGGCCUUGUACACACCGCCCGUCACACCAUGGGAGCCGGGGAGACCCGAAGUCGGUAGUCUAACCGCAAGGAGGGAGCCGCCGAAGGUAGAACUGAUGACUGGGGGAACCGGACACCUCCGCCGCCC
Molecule: ribosomal RNA, 346 nt
Filed under: Oxalobacter formigenes
Lineage: Bacteria; Pseudomonadati; Pseudomonadota; Betaproteobacteria; Burkholderiales; Oxalobacteraceae
Description: partial 16S ribosomal RNA
Rfam family: Bacterial small subunit ribosomal RNA
Source: RNAcentral